UGUUCUCUCUCCUCUCCCUUGUCCCUCUCAAUCCCACACCCCACCCAAUCUUUCCCACACCGUCGCUCCUCCCAAUCCUGUCGCCGAUGCCUCCUCCGCCCCGAAACGACGGCAGCAGGGACUCCGACACCUCACCCGCCUUCCACCUCCCCCAGCUCGUCUUCUCGCCGGUCGAUUUGGAGGAGCCUCCUUUCGCGCGCCACCGUGGCCGGGCUGCGGCGACCACCAGAGGUCUGCCGCUGGCAGGAGCUCCCUCCUUCUCCACCACGAGGCACCAGCAGAGGAGGAUGACUCCUCCUUCCACCCCUAGCCACGACGUCCAACCACUAACGCCGCCAGAAACCCUAGCCCGAAUCGGGCAGAGGUGCAGCAGCACGGGAUCCCCUCCAAAAGCAGUUGAGGCAGUUGAAGGAAGGGGCGGGCCAUGGAGAAGCUACAAGGGCCGCAUCGAGCGUGCACACACACCACCGUUCCUCGGAGGGCGCCUCGCUGCUGGGGCUCGCCAACUACGCGGACGAGGAGGAGGAUGAGCACCGGGGCCCGAGGGGGCGCGCGAACGGUCGGCCCCGCGAGGAGGAGGAGGAGGAGGACGAGAGGAGGGCUCUGGAGAGGCGACCCAGGCAGGUCGAGCUGCGCCGGGACUGCCCCUACCUCGACACCGUCAAUCGACUGAGGCCGCUUGAUAAGAGGCAGUUUGGGGUGUUUAGGGAUUGUAUGUAUGGGGGCAUUGAAGGCGUUCCUCUGCUCACUAACUGCAGGAGGCUGCCGAAGCUUCAACUGAUUGGCAGAUUAACGACUUGGCUCUCCAAGCAACAAAAUCAGUUCAGCGGCGUUCUUGGUUCCACUUCCUUGCUUAUUGGUCAGAUUAUGAAUCUAGAUUCUGCUAUUUUGGUUCAAAUUCCAUUGAUUUGGUACGAUGCAUCUACAUUGAUGCAUCAACUCUGCUCCAUAAAUAUGGAUACAUAUUGUUUGCUGGUUGUUUUCUUCGAUAGUUUUGUGUUGCCAUUGCUCCCAGUCACCAGAUUUCAAACUUAAUGGUCAAUACUUAUCCAUCAAAUAAAAAAUUUCUACAAGUAUUGCAAUCUCUAUGCAGAAGAUAAAUAAUGUCUGCCUGAGAUUUGGAUGUCUCCGAUCUUAAAUUAUUUGGAUUCCAGUAGUAUGUUAUUGAUGUACUGAUUCUCCUACUGGAGUUAGCAUAUAUUGUUGUAUAAAUCUAACUGUUUAAGACCACAUUAAUUGUGCUAAUGAAGAAAUUAGGAUGGAGGAAUUCCGAAUUUAUUAAAUUUUGAAAAAACUACAUGAUAGUUUCUUCUUUUUGUUGGUCUGAAAUUGCUGCUCCUGUUUGAUUGUUUACCCAUUUUGAUCCCCAUGCACAUGCCAUUAUUUGAUACUAAAACACCAGGGAGAAACCGGCGCUGCAAAGCACACGAUCUCUUCUAGUUUUAUUGUUAAUCAUGCUAUGUUCCAAACUCCUUUUUAUUCUUCUCAUAUGAUAUUGUUCAUGUUUUGUUUUCUGUCCUGAUGCCUGAUGUAUUUACAGUAGUAAUGUUCUAAAUUUAGUGUUUCUUGAACAUGGUCAGGAACUCAAGCAUUGGAUGCUGGCAAAAUAUAAGUUCCUUCACCAUAGGAAGAAAAUAAUUCCACUGAUUCCAGGAUUUGUUAGUUCCGAGUAGUGUUCUAUUGAUAGACCUUGUGGUCAAUCAUUUCACUGUUUCUUAGUUGGUUGUGUUGCUGAUCCCUUUUAAACUUCCUAUUUUUGAUCAUUGGACCAGUUCGAGUUAUCCUAAGUGCCAGCCCUAACAGCAAAGCAUUUUCCUAAGGAUCAUGUCUAGCAAGCCCAACAAAACUAAUAGGGCACACAUGGACAUGCGGCGGCGGCGGCGACGACAACGACAUCAACACGGGGCUGCAGCGACGAUGAUGGAGACAUCGACAUCGACAAGGGGCUGCGGUGGCAACAACGACGACGGCAUCGUCGCGGUGUUGUGGCGGCGGCAACGACGACGGCAUCAUCACGGUGCUGCGGCGGUGGGGACGACAUUGGCAUCAUCACUGUGUUGCGGCGGCGACGACGACGACAUCAACACGGGGUUGUGGAGGCGCCGACGCCGACGACCUAUACGCGUGGUGUGUAUUGUAUAUAUGUAUUAAUUACCUAUAUCAGAUAUGUAUGAUUGACUGUAUACAUAACAUGUACGUAUUGUGAAAUGCAUGUAUGUGAGUACUAUGAAAUGUAUGUCUAAACUGGAAUAAGUAGAUUUUUUUAAACCUAA
RNA transcript from Aegilops tauschii subsp. strangulata, 2273 nucleotides. RefSeq lists it as uncharacterized. NCBI's taxonomy places the organism in Eukaryota, Viridiplantae, Streptophyta, Magnoliopsida, Poales, Poaceae. The record is from RefSeq and is a predicted model, not a curated record.